UCCCUGGUGGUCCAGUGGCUAAGAUUUGGCACUUCCAAUGCAGGGGGCCUGGGUUUGAUUCCUAGUCAGAGAA
Molecule: transfer RNA, 73 nt
Filed under: Bos taurus (domestic cattle)
Lineage: Eukaryota; Metazoa; Chordata; Mammalia; Artiodactyla; Bovidae
Also listed under: 5 other names
Rfam family: tRNA
About the family: Transfer RNA (tRNA) molecules are approximately 80 nucleotides in length. Their secondary structure includes four short double-helical elements and three loops (D, anti-codon, and T loops). Further hydrogen bonds mediate the characteristic L-shaped molecular structure. tRNAs have two regions of fundamental functional importance: the anti-codon, which is responsible for specific mRNA codon recognition, and the 3' end, to which the tRNAs corresponding amino acid is attached (by aminoacyl-tRNA synthetases). tRNAs cope with the degeneracy of the genetic code in two manners: having more than one tRNA (with a specific anti-codon) for a particular amino acid; and 'wobble' base-pairing, i.e. permitting non-standard base-pairing at the 3rd anti-codon position.
Source: Rfam by way of RNAcentral